RNAcentral lists this ribosomal RNA (148 nucleotides) under uncultured archaeon. RNAcentral describes it as "partial 16S ribosomal RNA". It matches the Rfam family "Archaeal small subunit ribosomal RNA", at positions 324 to 473 of the family's 1478-position model. The record is from RNAcentral.
UACGGGGCGCAGCAGCCGCGGUAACUUUGCAAUACACGAAAGUGUGACAGGGCUAUCCCGAGUGCCGUCCGCUGAGGACGGCUUUUACCUAGUAUAGAUAGCUGGGGGAAUAAGGAGAGGGCAAGUCUGGUGUCAGCCGCCGCGGUAA